GAUGAACGCUGGCGGCGUGCCUAAUACAUGCAAGUCGAGCGAACAUACGAGGAUCUUGCUCCUCUGACGUUAGCGGCGGACGGGUGAGUAAUACGUGGAUAACCUACCUAUAAGACUGGUAUAACUUCGGGAAACCGGAGCUAAUACCGGAUAAUAUAUUGAACCUCAUGGUUCAAUAGUGAAAGACGGUUUUGCUGUCACUUAUAGAUGGAUCCGCGCCGCAUUAGCUAGUUGGUAAGGUAACGGCUUACCAAGGCGACGAUGCGUAGCCGACCUGAGAGGGUGAUAGGGCACACUGGAACUGAGACACGGUCCAGACUCCUACGGGAGGCAGCAGUAGGGAAUCUUCCGCAAUGGGGGAAAGCCUGAAGGAGCAAAGCCGCGUGAGGGAUGAAGGUCUUCGGAUCGGAAAACUCUGUUAGUAGGGAAGAAGAAAAGUGUAAGUAACUAUGCACGUAUUGACGGUACCUAAACAAAAAGCCACGGCUAACUACGUG
RNAcentral lists this ribosomal RNA (497 nucleotides) under uncultured bacterium. RNAcentral describes it as "partial 16S ribosomal RNA". It matches the Rfam family "Bacterial small subunit ribosomal RNA", at positions 28 to 507 of the family's 1533-position model. The record is from RNAcentral.